RNAcentral lists this long non-coding RNA (709 nucleotides) under Homo sapiens (human). RNAcentral's name for it is "HSALNT0287928". Lineage: Eukaryota; Metazoa; Chordata; Mammalia; Primates; Hominidae. The record is from RNAcentral.
GUUUGAUCUCAGACCGCCGUGCUAGCAAUCAGCGAGACUCCAUGGGUGUAGGACCCCCCAUUCCCAGCCAGAUGUGGGAUAUAAUCUCGUGGUGCGCCGUUUUUUAAGCUCGUGGGAAAUGCGCAGUAUUUGGGUGGGAGUGACCCGAUUUUCCAGGUGCGUCCGUCACCCCUUUAUUUGACUAGGAAAGGGAACUCCGUGACCCCUUGCGCUUCCUGAGUGAGGCAAUGCCUCGCCCUGCUUCGGCUCACGCACGGUGCACGCACCCACUGACCUGCGCCCACUGUCUGGCACUCCGUAGUGAGAUGAACCCGGUACCUCAGGUGGAAAUGAAGAAAUCACCCGUCUUCUGCGUCGCUCAGGCUGGGAGCUGUAGACCGGAGCUGUUCCUAUUCGGCCAUCUUGGCUCCUCCCCGUGACUUUCAAAUAAAACUAAUAUCCCAGAUGGCUGACUAGAUACAGCCAGAAGGAACAUCUGUCACUGAGAAAUUGGGACAUCAGGAAUACUGGCACACCAUGAGUAGACCUUCGGAGGGAAGGCAUUGAGAAUGGAUGGAGAGAGGACACAGAUGCUGGGUUGAAGCGGGAGGAAGCUGGGAAUCCUGCACAGGGCUACUGAGCACUGGGAAAUGUUCCUGGCCCCCAGAAAUUUCUGGGGAAAGGCAACACAGAUGGCGCUGGAGGAACCAACAGAGGAACUUACGCAGAA